Molecule: ribosomal RNA, 572 nt
Filed under: uncultured fungus
Lineage: Eukaryota; Fungi
Description: eukaryotic LSU rRNA
Rfam family: 5.8S ribosomal RNA (bases 208-361)
Source: RNAcentral
AGUAAAAGUCGUAACAAGGUCUCCGUAGGUGAACCUGCGGAGGGAUCAUUACAAGUGACCCCGGUCUAACCACCGGGAUGUUCAUAACCCUUUGUUGUCCGACUCUGUUGCCUCCGGGGCGACCCUGCCUUCGGGCGGGGGCUCCGGGUGGACACUUCAAACUCUUGCGUAACUUUGCAGUCUGAGUAAACUUAAUUAAUAAAUUAAAACUUUUAACAACGGAUCUCUUGGUUCCGGCAUCGAUGAAGAACGCAGCGAAAUGCGAUAAGUAAUGUGAAUUGCAGAAUUCAGUGAAUCAUCGAAUCUUUGAACGCACAUUGCGCCCCCUGGUAUUCCGGGGGGCAUGCCUGUUCGAGCGUCAUUUCACCACUCAAGCCUCGCUUGGUAUUGGGCAACGCGGUCCGCCGCGUGCCUCAAAUCGACCGGCUGGGUCUUCUGUCCCCUAAGCGUUGUGGAAACUAUUCGCUAAAGGGUGUUCGGGAGGCUACGCCGUAAAACAACCCCAUUUCUAAGGUUGACCUCGGAUCAGGUAGGGAUACCCGCUGAACUUAAGCAUAUCAAUAAGCGGAGGA